This is a long non-coding RNA of Bos taurus (domestic cattle), 1405 nucleotides long. Lineage: Eukaryota; Metazoa; Chordata; Mammalia; Artiodactyla; Bovidae. The record is from Ensembl.
AUAGAACUCUGGGAGGAGUUUGGCAGAACAAUCAGAUCUGGAGUCAGGACUGCCACCCAAACAGCCAGAACAGAAGGUACCAGUGAUGUCCAUCUCAACAAACUACCUGAGCCCCAAAGCGUCCAUUUUCAGAGGCACAGAGAGCAGGGGAUUAACACGGGAAGACAGCAAUUCACUGAAGAGUGCUUCCAGUGAGGACCAGUUCUCAGGGAUGAGGGCAGCAGGAACAAAGGAGCUGCCAGGAGCCACCCCCACUGAAAACAACUCCAGAAAUAGAGAAAACUCAGCAAGGACAAGAAGGGCAGACAGAGAGAGGCAGAGGUGGACAGGAAGGAACUUCCAAAAUGGACAAAGAACAGGGGUUCCUUGUAACAGUGAACGACGGAAGAGAUCAAAGUGGGAAAGCUGGCUCCAUACCGGGGCAAGUUCAAGCAGAGGGGAAGAGUCCUACCUAGCAAUGACACCAAGUCCCUGAAAGUCGGUUGUCCAGGGAAGCAGAAUCCUUGUCCCUUUGGUUACCUGAGUUUCUCUGAAGACUUUCACCUCAAGUCUGGGCUUUGGGAGCAUGUCUCAAAGUAGCCCUUGCUCAGAUCUCCAGCCUUCCACCUUUGUCAGGACCCGACUCCCAGCUCCCACUCCUACACAACUGAAAAAACACCGAAAGAGUUUUCAGUGAUACAGGUGUGAUAGCUGCAUUUGCUUUCCUCCCUGACUGUUUCUAAUGUGUGUGUCUUCUACCUAACCACUUAUUAUAAAAGCAUUCACUGAUCCCUCAAAGAACUUGCAGGUUUUGCUCCACAAAACAAAGCACUCAGGAAUAAUUCCUCAGUGAUUAGAACUGAAGGAUCAUGUUUCCAGUAGUAGGAAUUAGAGGGCAGAAAGACAGAUUUCUAGGGCCCCAAGAAGGAGUUACAGAUGUCAGACAGCAGAGGCUCAAUCUGAGUGCUCCGUGGUAGAAGUAGCCUGGGUAGAUAGAAAGCAGCUUUCAGAACUAUUAUGGGAGCUGCCACUUGUUUAGCAAAAGCUGCCUAAACCUUUCUUUCCAGUUUGAACUAUCUUUCCCAAAGCAACAGAUUAUGUUUUGCUACCAUGCCCUUUCUUCAAAACAUGCAUGAGGACUUCCCUGGUGGUCCAGUGGUUGGGAAUCCACCUGCCAAUGCAGGGGACACAGGUUCGAUUCCUGGUCCAGGAAGAUUCCACAUGUCACAGGGCAACUAAGCCCACGAGCCACAGUGACUGAGCCUGAGGUCUGGAGCUCACGUGCCGCCGCUACUGCCUAGAGCCUGUGCUCCACAAGAGAAGCCGCCGUGAAAAGAAGCCCACGCCCCACAGCUAGAGAGCAGCCCCCACUCACCUCAGCUAGAGGAAGCCUGAGCGCAGCAACAAAGACCUGCCACACCAAAAG